AUUGAACGCUGGCGGCAGGCUUAACACAUGCAAGUCGAGCGGGGUGAUGGUGCUUGCACUAUCACUUAGCGGCGGACGGGUGAGUAAUGCUUAGGAAUCUGCCUAUUAGUGGGGGGCAACAUCUCGAAAGGGAUGCUAAUACCGCAUACGUCCUACGGGAGAAAGCAGGGGAUCACUUGUGACCUUGCGCUAAUAGAUGAGCCUAAGUCGGAUUAGCUAGUUGGUGGGGUAAAGGCCUACCAAGGCGACGAUCUGUAGCGGGUCUGAGAGGACGAUCCGCCCCACUGGGACUGAGGCACUGCCCAGACUCCUACGGGAGGCAGCAGUGGGGAAUAUUGGACGAUGGGGGAAACCCUGAUCCAGCCAUGCCGCGUGUGUGAAGAAGGCCUUAUGGUUGUAAAGCACUUUAAGCGAGGAGGAGGCUCUUUUGGUUAAUACCCAAGAUGAGUGGACGUUACUCGCAGAAUAAGCACCGGCUAACUCUGUGCCAGCCGCCGCCGUAA
This 503-nucleotide ribosomal RNA is filed under the name uncultured bacterium. Its description in RNAcentral is "partial 16S ribosomal RNA". It matches the Rfam family "Bacterial small subunit ribosomal RNA", at positions 30 to 523 of the family's 1533-position model. The record is from RNAcentral.